Molecule: ribosomal RNA, 741 nt
Filed under: Atlantibacter hermannii
Lineage: Bacteria; Pseudomonadati; Pseudomonadota; Gammaproteobacteria; Enterobacterales; Enterobacteriaceae
Description: bacterial SSU rRNA
Rfam family: Bacterial small subunit ribosomal RNA
Source: RNAcentral
ACACAUGCAAGUCGAACGGUAACAGGAAGCAGCUUGCUGCUUUGCUGACGAGUGGCGGACGGGUGAGUAAUGUCUGGGAAACUGCCUGAUGGAGGGGGAUAACUACUGGAAACGGUAGCUAAUACCGCAUAACGUCGCAAGACCAAAGAGGGGGACCUUCGGGCCUCUUGCCAUCAGAUGUGCCCAGAUGGGAUUAGCUAGUAGGUGGGGUAACGGCUCACCUAGGCGACGAUCCCUAGCUGGUCUGAGAGGAUGACCAGCCACACUGGAACUGAGACACGGUCCAGACUCCUACGGGAGGCAGCAGUGGGGAAUAUUGCACAAUGGGCGCAAGCCUGAUGCAGCCAUGCCGCGUGUAUGAAGAAGGCCUUCGGGUUGUAAAGUACUUUCAGCGGGGAGGAAGGCGAUGCGGUUAAUAACCGUGUCGAUUGACGUUACCCGCAGAAGAAGCACCGGCUAACUCCGUGCCAGCAGCCGCGGUAAUACGGAGGGUGCAAGCGUUAAUCGGAAUUACUGGGCGUAAAGCGCACGCAGGCGGUCUGUCAAGUCGGAUGUGAAAUCCCCGGGCUCAACCUGGGAACUGCAUCCGAAACUGGCAGGCUUGAGUCUCGUAGAGGGGGGUAGAAUUCCAGGUGUAGCGGUGAAAUGCGUAGAGAUCUGGAGGAAUACCGGUGGCGAAGGCGGCCCCCUGGACGAAGACUGACGCUCAGGUGCGAAAGCGUGGGGAGCAAACAGGAUUAG